This 57-nucleotide transfer RNA is filed under the name Salmo salar (Atlantic salmon). It matches the Rfam family "tRNA", at positions 8 to 63 of the family's 71-position model. Rfam says of the family: Transfer RNA (tRNA) molecules are approximately 80 nucleotides in length. Their secondary structure includes four short double-helical elements and three loops (D, anti-codon, and T loops). Lineage: Eukaryota; Metazoa; Chordata; Actinopteri; Salmoniformes; Salmonidae. The record is from Rfam by way of RNAcentral.
UGGCUCAGUUGGUAGAGCAUGGCACUUGCAAUGUUAGGGUGUGGGUUUGAUUCCCAC